This 539-nucleotide ribosomal RNA is filed under the name uncultured bacterium. RNAcentral describes it as "bacterial SSU rRNA". It matches the Rfam family "Bacterial small subunit ribosomal RNA", at positions 365 to 917 of the family's 1533-position model. The record is from RNAcentral.
UUNGANUGGGCGAAGCCUGACGCAGCGACGCCGCGUGGGGGAUGAAGGCCUUCGGGUUGUAAACCCCUUUCAGCAGGGACGAAGCGAAAGUGACGGUACCUGCAGAAGAAGCGCCGGCUAACUACGUGCCAGCAGCCGCGGUAACACGUAGGGCGCAAGCGUUGUCCGGAAUUAUUGGGCGUAAAGAGCUCGUAGGCGGUCUGUUGCGUCCGCUGUGAAAUCUCGGGGCUUAACCCCGAGCCUGCAGUGGAUACGGGCAGACUAGAGGUAGGUAGGGGAGAAUGGAAUUCCCGGUGUAGCGGUGAAAUGCGCAGAUAUCGGGAGGAACACCGGUGGCGAAGGCGGUUCUCUGGGCCUUACCUGACGCUGAGGAGCGAAAGCGUGGGGAGCGAACAGGAUUAGAUACCCUGGUAGUCCACGCCGUAAACGUUGGGCGCUAGGUGUGGGAUCCUUCCACGGAUUCCGUGCCGCAGCUAACGCAUUAAGCGCCCCGCCUGGGGAGUACGGCCGCAAGGCUAAAACUCAAAGAAAUUGACGGA